AUUGAACGCUGGCGGCAUGCCUUACACAUGCAAGUCGAACGGCAGCACGGGGGCAACCCUGGUGGCGAGUGGCGAACGGGUGAGUAAUGCAUCGGAACGUGUCCUCUUGUGGGGGAUAACCAGUCGAAAGAUUGGCUAAUACCGCAUGAGAUCGAGAGAUGAAAGCGGGGGACCCGAGGGUAACUUCGGGCCUCGCGCGAGAGGAGCGGCCGAUGCCGGAUUAGCUAGUUGGUGGGGUAAGAGCCUACCAAGGCGACGAUCCGUAGCUGGUCUGAGAGGACGACCAGCCACACUGGGACUGAGACACGGCCCAGACUCCUACGGGAGGCAGCAGUGGGGAAUUUUGGACAAUGGGGAAACCCUGAUCCAGCCAUGCCGCGUGAGUGAAGAAGGCCUCGGUUGUAAG
This 406-nucleotide ribosomal RNA is filed under the name uncultured bacterium. RNAcentral's name for it is "bacterial SSU rRNA". It matches the Rfam family "Bacterial small subunit ribosomal RNA", at positions 29 to 429 of the family's 1533-position model. The record is from RNAcentral.